GGGAAGCGAACGCGAGCUUCCCUUUGGCCAGCGCGGCUGCCAAUCAAGCGCUGCGGUCCCGCCUCCCUCCUCCCCUCUCCCCCCCUCCCCGCGGUGCCGCUCGUGUCCGGCCGGCCGGAGCCGAGCGGAGCCGAAGGGAGCCGAGCGGAGCCGAGCGGCCGCCCCGCGCCCCCGCCCUCCCCUGCCCUCCCCUGCCCGCCGCGCCCGGUGCAGGUAUCGGCGCUGUGCUACAUUAAAAUAAAACUGAAUAAAUCCCGCACCGAGCCGGGGGGACGCCUCCAGGCGUGCUUAGCUCCGGGACGGGGCUCCUACCAGCGGGCCUCUGAUGACUGUCACGGUGCUUUUUUGCUUCUCUGCUCUCCAGAGAAGGGACACGGGCUGUUGCUCCAUCCCUUGACUUUAACCACCGAGUUGGGAAUGCUUCACUCUGCUUCAUUUCAUCAGCCCGUAAGUCCUGCUUGGGUAUACACAGUGUCAUUUAUCUUAUUUUCUAGCCUUUUCAUUGAAAAUACAUCUGUUUUUAAAUCUUAAGUAAUGCUCUCGAGUCUGCACUCCAAUGGAUUAGGCUGAAUGUUACCACCGUGCUUCCAGUGCGUUGGCUUCGCAGUUCCCCGUUUUGGUGCUGUUCCCCGCCACGCACACGGUGUUGGGCCCACUCCUGUCCCCCUCUAUUGUCCUGUACGGCGUCUGGGUUUGAAUGCAGGAAGAGUGGGAGGGGAACUUUAGGGAUUGGAGAUGCUAUCUGUGUACGAGCAUGCAUGUGUGUGUUCUGGGGGUGGUGCUGAGCAGUUGUGGUCAGGCUGAAAUUACCAGCACGUUCGCUAAGGACAGGAAAUGAUGCUAAGGCUCUGAUAGAGUUGCCUUAUUGCAACGCUGUGUGUGUGGCUCACUCAUUUGCUUUCGCAAAAGUAAGUAUGCGGUAUUAUAUACAAAACCUCCUUUUUCUGGUAGCUGUGUGUAUGUCGUCUUACAGAAUUGGGUCUAGUUAAAAUAGCUUCUAUUAUAAACCAAUGCGUGUAUGUCUAAUAGGCGUGUAUCUAAUAUUUCCUUCAUUAGUCACAUUCUGUUGGUUUUAUUUCAUGCUGUGUAGAAAUUAGGGUGAAUUGUGACAUUGUGGCAGUCUUGGAUCAUAUGGUUUCUAAUUGUAAGAAUGAGUUUUCAGUUGCUA
This 1168-nucleotide long non-coding RNA is filed under the name Cairina moschata (Muscovy duck). Its description in RNAcentral is "domestica (muscovy Duck (domestic type)) lncRNA (ENSCMMG00000007956.1)". The record is from RNAcentral. Lineage: Eukaryota; Metazoa; Chordata; Aves; Anseriformes; Anatidae.